AGCUAGUUGGCAGGGUAAAAGCCUACCAAGGCAUAGAUCGGUAGCCGGCCUGAGAGGGCACACGGCCACACUGGCACUGAAACACGGGCCAGACUCCUACGGGAGGCAGCAGUGGGGAAUCUUGCACAAUGGGGGAAACCCUGAUGCAGCGACGCCGCGUGAGCGAUGAAGCCCUUCGGGGUGUAAAGCUCUUUCGGCAGGGAAGAUUAUGACGGUACCUGCAGAAGCAGCUGCGGCUAACUAUGUGCCAGCAGCCGCGGUAAUACGUAGGCAGCGAGCGUUGUUCGGAGUUACUGGGCGUAAAGGGUGUGUAGGCGGUUGCUUAAGUUUGGUGUGAAAUCUCCCGGCUCAACUGGGAGGGUGCGCCGAAUACUGAGUGACUAGAGUGCGGGAGAGGAAAGUGGAAUUCCUGGUGUAGCGGUGAAAUGCGUAGAUAUCAGGAGGAACACCGGUGGUGUAGACGGCUUUCUGGACCGUAACUGACGCUGAGACACGAAAGCGUGGGUAGCAAACAGGAUUAGAUACCCUGGUAGUCCACGCCCUAAACGAUGCAUAUUUGGUGUGGGUCAUUCAGUUGAUCCGUGCCGGAGCUAACGCGUUAAAUAUGCCACCUGGGGAGUACAGUCGCAAGGCUGAAACUCAAAGGAAUUGACGGGGGCCCGCACAAGCGGUGGAGCAUGUGGUUCAAUUCGACUACGCGAAGAACCUUACCUGGGCUCGAACGGCUGGUCAACGCCGGUGGAAACAUCGGUACCCCGCAAGGGGGUCCAGUCGAGGUGCUGCAUGGCUGUCGUCAGCUCGUGUCGUGAGAUGUUGGGUUAAGUCCCGCAACGAGCGCAACCCUUGUCCUGUGUUGCCAUGCCGAAAGGCGGAACUCGCAGGAGACCGCCAGCGAUAAGCUGGAGGAAGGUGGGGAUGACGUCAAGUCCUCAUGGCCUUUAUGUCCAGGGCUACACACGUGCUACAAUGGACGGUACAAAGCGCAGCGAACCCGCGAGGGGGAGCCAAACGCAAAAAACCGUUCUCAGUUCGGAUUGCAGGCUGCAACUCGCCUGCAUGAAGCUGGAAUCGCUAGUAAUGGCAGAUCAGCACGCUGCCGUGAAUACGUUCCCGGGCCUUGUACACACCGCCCGUCACAUCACGAAAGUGGAUUGUACUAGAAGUCUGCACGCCGACCCGCAAGGGGGGCAGCGGCCCAAGGUAUGACUCAUGAUUGGGGUGAAGUCGUAACAAGGUAGCCGUAGGAACCUGCGGCUG
Molecule: ribosomal RNA, 1257 nt
Filed under: metagenome
Description: bacterial SSU rRNA
Rfam family: Bacterial small subunit ribosomal RNA
Source: RNAcentral